Equus caballus (horse) is the source of this 2741-nucleotide long non-coding RNA. RefSeq lists it as uncharacterized. The record is from RefSeq and is a predicted model, not a curated record. NCBI's taxonomy places the organism in Eukaryota, Metazoa, Chordata, Mammalia, Perissodactyla, Equidae.
ACUAGGCCAAGGGGGCUGGCCUGAGGUUCAAUAAUUUUUAAUAAGUGCAAAAUAUGUACCAGCUCACACACACUCCCUGGUCUCAUGGAAUUUACGGCGUAGAUGAGAAGAUCAACAUUAAAGUCUAGCUGAUGAUACUGAUGAAUGCAUAACUAUACACAGAGUAGUGCUCUGAAGAAAGGAAUGCUGCACUACAAAAGGACACGAUGAAAGAGCCCGACCUUGACUGGGGAUCAGGGAAAGCUUCUUCGAGGAAGCAAUCCUUGAGCUGAGAACCGAUUUGUGAGUAGGAGUUAAUUAGGUGAAAGAGGUAGAGUGGGAUGGAAAGAGCAUUCCUAACAGAGGUACGGUGUUUGUGUUUCCCUGUCUAUCUAUCCAUCCAUUUGUCUGUUCAUCCAUCCGUCCAUCCUGUUUUACAAAACAGUAUAUUACCAAGUGAUCAUGGAGAUGUAAAUAGGUAUAAUUGUCUCUGUUUUCUAAGUCUGUAAGUCAAUUUGGGGACACCAGAGAAGAAUUCUUUUAAAAAUUCCUCAGAAAAUGUUAGGAGGUUAUUUUAAGUCAUAAUAGACAAGAGGCAAUUUCAGCCCUUACUCUUGCUCUUAUUGGAAGGGGAUUUGCCUGAGUGAACAUCAAGAGGCCGCUCUCCCCUGGGUAUCUACCUUGUUCUGCCUUUUUCCCUGUGGAGAAGGUGCAGAAUGCAGAGGAUAAGACCCAUGUGCCAGCAGCCUAACGCUGCUUCCAUGGGAACUGAAAUUUGCAGUUAAAAAUUGAAGCAAAAUCCUCCAUUAAUAGAGGAAUUUAUCUGAUUUUACAAUGAGUCACGUUUUCCUAGUGCUUUUAGGAUCAACCAGAAAGCAAAAUUCAGUAUUUUAAAAAAAGGGAAUUAAAUUGGUAUCUGUUCUACAUAAAGCGAUUUCAUCAUCUCACUGUGAUCUCCAAGAAUAUGGUUCCUCAUACGAAAAUCAGGGAUAGUUUGCAGGCAUGCUUUUAGUGAUUAGCAAAUUAUUUAUUUACAGUUGUUGUCAGAUUAAUGGUAAAUGUUCCACUGAGUUCACAGAAUCUUGGCAUUGAAUUUAUACCUGGAAUGAGCUUAGAGAUCCAGUAUAGCUCUCAUUUUACACAAGAAGAAAUCGAAAGCCAGAUAGGUUAAGUGACUUUUUCAAGCGACUUAAAAAUUUAUGCCCCAACUCAUUUCACAGGCUUUUGUGAUAGCUGUGCAAGUAGGGUAUAAGCUAUUUAGGAUCUUCUAUCUCCUGGUUCAGUGUGGGGGACUCUGGAGUAUGAUUCUGCACUCAAAUUCUUGCUAUUUACUAGCCUUGUGACCUUGGAAAAAUUGCUUAACUUCCCUAAGCUUCAGUUUUCUCAUCUCUAAAAGAGGAUAAUAAUUGUACCCACAUCCCUGCAUUGUUGUGAAGAUUAGAAUGCAUGAGAAGAGGCAGGCCUGUAGUAAACACUCAGUAAUUGCUUUGUGAUGUUUCUUGCUUUGGCCAACAGAAAGAAGACGGAAGUGACCAUAUGCCAGUUCAGAGUGGGACUUCAAGAAGCAUGGUUUCCAGGUUGUCUUCAAGGAGUACACCAUUGACUCUGAAAUUAGCUGUUGUGUGGACAGAUACGUUACAAGUCUCUAAAUUACCAAGCUGCAGGAUCUUGUCAUUCCAAUGCUUUAAUGGACUCUAACACCAUUUCAGCCCUCCCUUCUGCCCUGAGACCUUGUCACCUGGGCAAUUUCAGGUUUCUUUUCCUUCCAGAUGUCAGGGCCUCUCCUCCUCCUCCUUGCUUUUCUUUAGCAUCAACAUUUCCAACUACUAUUUUCUAGUUAUCUUUCUUUUUGUUUCUGUGAUACAUCCAAACCUUGGAUUUUCCCUAAAGGGAAAAGUGGGUCUUCUGCCUAGGAGAAGUGGAUGGCUUCCCAAGUUGUGCUCAAGGGCUCUUUCCUCAGUUUUCAGAUUUUUUGGGAACUGAAAAAUCUGGUUGCUGGAUUGUGUGUAUGUGUGUGUUCCCUAUCAUCACAGAAAAGAAAGAAUAUGUGUGAUAGCAUUCUCUUUUAAAGUCAGUUGAAAUCUUGUAUAGAGAAUGUUUGAGAAGACAUUCCCUGAAAGAUGUUCCCUGAAGAGAUGUUCCAGGGUGGCAUCACCCAAGCAGAUGUGAAAAGUACUUUCCUGGAGGCGCUCUGGGGUGAAAAGUUUUCUCCUUCCAGAAUGCUUUCCUAGUAGCCUGUAUCUCUAACAAUUUAUCAUCUGUAUCAGAGUCACCAGGGUGGUAUUAACUAUGCAGAUUCCUGAGUUACACCCCAGAGCCACUGGGUUGGAGCCUUUGGGGGCUGGGAGCCAGGGAUUGGCAUUUUAACAGAUACCCCAGUUUCCGAGCCACUGCCUCCUAGUAGAACUCCCACCAGCUCCAGAGCUUCUCCUAUAUGCCUCACCUGCAACAAAGCCGCAGACCCUUCUGUCUCGGAGACAGGGAUGGGAGGGAGGGAAGAUGGCUCCCUGCCUCUUCUCCAAAACUCUCUUGUGUGGCUGGGCCUAGUAUCUGUGAGUGAGAAGGUCAUGCAGGAAGGUCAGUGUACAAGGCUUAGGAAAUACAUAAGGAGUGAAACACUGAGAUGUUUCCCUGACUUCUAGUCAGGGAUUAUGGAACAAGCACCAUUUUGUUUUUUCACUCGCUAGUCCUCAAAAUAUUUUUUAAGGGGCCGGCCCGGUGGCGCAGCAGUUAAGUUCGUACAUUCCACUUCUUGGUGGCCU